RNAcentral lists this ribosomal RNA (301 nucleotides) under uncultured bacterium. Its description in RNAcentral is "partial 16S ribosomal RNA". It matches the Rfam family "Bacterial small subunit ribosomal RNA", at positions 509 to 807 of the family's 1533-position model. The record is from RNAcentral.
CAGUAGCCACGGGAACACGGAGGGUGCAAGCGUUAAUCGGAAUUACUGGGCGUAAAGCGCACGCAGGCGGUUUGUUAAGUCAGAUGUGAAAUCCCCGAGCUUAACUUGGGAACUGCAUUUGAAACUGGCAAGCUAGAGUCUUGUAGAGGGGGGUAGGAUUCCAGGUGUAGCGGUGAAAUGCGUAGAGAUCUGGAGGAAUACCGGUGGCGAAGGCGGCCCCCUGGACAAAGACUGACGCUUAGGUGCGGAAGCGUGGGGAGCAAACAGGAUUAGAUACCCCUGUAGUCCCUGUCUCUUAUAC